GACGAACGCUGGCGGCGUGCUUAACACAUGCAAGUCGAACGAAGAGCGAUGGAAGCUUGCUUCUAUCAAUCUUAGUGGCGAACGGGUGAGUAACGCGUAAUCAACCUGCCCUUCAGAGGGGGACAACAGUUGGAAACGACUGCUAAUUCCGCAUACGAUCUAAUCUCGGCAUCGAGGAUAGAUGAAAGGUGGCCUCUACAUGUAAGCUAUCACUGAAGGAGGGGAUUGCGUCUGAUUAGCUAGUUGGAGGGGUAACGGCCCACCAAGGCGAUGAUCAGUAGCCGGUCUGAGAGGAUGAACGGCCACAUUGGGACUGAGACACGGCCCAGACUCCUACGGGAGGCAGCAGUGGGGAAUCUUCCGCAAUGGACGAAAGUCUGACGGAGCAACGCCGCGUGAGCGAUGACGGCCUUCGGGUUGUAAAGCUCUGUUAAUCGGGACGAAAGGCCUUCUUGCGAAUAGGGAGAAGGAUUGACGGUACCGGAAUAGAAAGCCACGGCUAACUACGUG
This 510-nucleotide ribosomal RNA is filed under the name uncultured bacterium. RNAcentral describes it as "partial 16S ribosomal RNA". It matches the Rfam family "Bacterial small subunit ribosomal RNA", at positions 28 to 507 of the family's 1533-position model. The record is from RNAcentral.